AGAGUUUGAUUAUGGCUCAGGAUGAACGCUAGCGAUAGGCAUAACACAUGCAAGUCGAGGGGCAGCACAUGAAGUAGCAAUACGGAUGGUGGCGACCGGCGCACGGGUGAGUAACGCGUAUGCAACCUGCCUACAACAGGGGAAUAACCCGUUGAAAGACGGACUAAUACCCCAUAACACAGGGAUCCCGCAUGGGAAUAUUUGUUAAAGAUUUAUCGGUUGUAGAUGGGCAUGCGUUCCAUUAGCUUGUUGGUGAGGUAACGGCUCACCAAGGCAACGAUGGAUAGGGGAACUGAGAGGUUUAUCCCCCACACUGGUACUGAGACACGGACCAGACUCCUACGGGAGGCAGCAGUGAGGAAUAUUGGUCAAUGGACGCAAGUCUGAACCAGCCACGUCGCGUGAAGGAAGACGGCCCUACGGGUUGUAAACUUCUUUUGUAAGGGAAUAAAGUGUAGUACGUGUACUAUUUUGCAUGUACCUUACGAAUAAGGAUCGGCUAACUCCGUGCCAGCAGCCGCGGUAAUACGGAGGAUCCGAGCGUUAUCCGGAUUUAUUGGGUUUAAAGGGUGCGCAGGCGGGAGAUUAAGUCGGCGGUGAAAUUUUGCAGCUCAACUGUAAAAGUGCCUUCGAAACUGGUUUCCUUGAGUGUGGAUGAAGUAGGCGGAAUUUGUGGUGUAGCGGUGAAAUGCAUAGAUAUCACGAGGAACUCCGAUUGCGCAGGCAGCUUACUAAACCAUAACUGACGCUCAGGCACGAAGGCGUGGGGAUCAAACAGGAUUAGAUACCCUGGUAGUC
This 798-nucleotide ribosomal RNA is filed under the name uncultured Porphyromonadaceae bacterium. RNAcentral describes it as "bacterial SSU rRNA". It matches the Rfam family "Bacterial small subunit ribosomal RNA", at positions 8 to 795 of the family's 1533-position model. The record is from RNAcentral. Lineage: Bacteria; Pseudomonadati; Bacteroidota; Bacteroidia; Bacteroidales; Porphyromonadaceae.